Molecule: ribosomal RNA, 494 nt
Filed under: uncultured bacterium
Lineage: Bacteria
Description: partial 16S ribosomal RNA
Rfam family: Bacterial small subunit ribosomal RNA
Source: RNAcentral
GACGAACGCUGGCGGCGUGCUUAACACAUGCAAGUCGAACGGUGAAGCGCCUUCCUUUUUGGUGGGUGUGGAUGAGUGGCGAACGGGUGAGUAACACGUGAGUAACCUGCCCCCUUCUUCUGGAUAACCGCAUGAAAGUGUGGCUAAUACGGGAUAUUCUGGGUCUGUCGCAUGAUGGGUCUGGGAAAGAUAUUGUUUCGGUGGGGGAUGGGCUCGCGGCCUAUCAGCUUGUUGGUGGGGUGAUGGCCUACCAAGGCGGUGACGGGUAGCCGGCCUGAGAGGGUGGACGGUCCCACUAGGGCUGCGACACGGACCCGACUCCUACGGGAGGCAGCAGUGAGGAAUAUUGCACAGUGGGAGCCAGCCUGAUGCAGCGACGCCGCGUGAGGGAUGGAGGCCUUCGGGUUGUGAACCUCUUUCGCCAGUGAAGCAGGCCUGCCUCGUUUGUGGGUGGGUUGACGGUAGCUGGAGAAGAAGCGCCGGCUAACUACGUG